Molecule: long non-coding RNA, 2595 nt
Organism: Symphalangus syndactylus (siamang)
Lineage: Eukaryota; Metazoa; Chordata; Mammalia; Primates; Hylobatidae
Source: RefSeq, a predicted model, not a curated record
GGGUUCCCGGCUGCGCCUCUGAACUCACGGUGGUGGCGCGUGUUGGGGAACGGAUGUGGGGCCGCGGCGGGGACUGACAGGAGAACGAGGCCGCAGCGCCCGUGGUCAUGCACGGACGAUGGAUAAACAUCAGCGCAGCGCGGGCCGUCCCGGAGCACGGCCCAGGCCGCAGCUGUGGCUCCGAGGGCGCCGUGAGGGCAGCGGACCCGGGUCAGGGGCGCCGCGGCCGGGGAGGCCCAGGCCGCCCUCUAGGGCCACGAGGAUAUUCAGGAACCGAGAUGAAGUCUCACUGUCACCCAGUCUGGAGUAGAGUGGCGCGAUGUUGGCUCAUUGCAGCCUCCGCCUCCUGAGCUUGAGUGAUCUUCCCACCUCAGCCUCUUGAGUAGCUGGACCACAAGUGCAUGCCUGGCCAAUUACUGUAUUUUUGGUAGAAACGGAGUUUACACCAUGUUGCCCAGGCUGGUCUCAAAACUGGCCUCCCCGGCCGCCCCGUCCGGGAGGAAGUGAGGAGCGCCUCUGCCCGGCCGCCCCGUCCGGGAAGAAGUGAGGAGCGCCUCGGCCCGGCCGCCCUGUCCGGGAAGAAGUGAGGAGCGCCUCGGCCCGGCCGCCCCGUCCGGGAAGAAGUGAGGAGCGCCUCUGCCCGGCCGCCCCGUCUGGGAAGUGAGGAGCGCCUCUGCCCGGCCGCCCCGUCCGGGAAGAAAUGAGGAGCGCCUCUGCCCGGGCGCCCCAUCCGGGAAGAAGUGAGGAGCGCCUCUGCCCGGCCGCCCCAUCCGGGAAGAAGUGAGGAGCGCCUCUGCCUGGCCACCCACCGUCUGGGAAGUGAGGAGCGCCUCUGCCCGGCCACCCACCGUCUGGGAAGUGAGGAGCGCCUCUGCCCGGCCACCCACCGUCUGGGAAGUGAGGAGCGCCUCUGCCCGGCCACCCACCGUCUGGGAAGUGAGGAGCGCCUCUGCCCGGCCACCGUCUGGGAAGUGAGGAGCGCCUCUGCCCGGCCACCGUCUGGGAAGUGAGGAGCGCCUCUGCCCGGCCGCCCCGUCUGGGAAGUGAGGAGCGCCUCUGCCCGGCCGCCCCGUCUGGGAAGUGAGGAGCGCCUCUGCCCGGCCACCCAUCGUCUGGGAAGUGAGGAGCGCCUCUGCCCGGCCACCCUGUCUGGGAAGUGAGGAGCGCCUCUGCCCGGCCACCCCGUCUGGGAAGUGAGGAGCGCCUCUGCCCGGCCACCCAUCGUCUGGGAGGUGAGGAGCGCCUCUGCCCGGCCUCCCAUCGUCUGGGAGGUGAGGAGCGCCUCUGCCCGGCCGCCCCGUCCGGGAGUAAGUGAGGAGCGCCUCUGCCCGGCCACCCCGUCCGGGAAGAAGUGAGGAGCGCCUCUGCCCGGCCGCCCUGUCCGGGAAGAAGUGAGGAGCGCCUCUGCCCGGGCGCCCCAUCCGGGAAGAAGUGAGGAGCGCCUCUGCCCGGCCACCCCAUCCGGGAAGAAGUGAGGAGCGCCUCUGCCCGGCCACCCACCGUCUGGGAAGUGAGGAGCGCCUCUGCCCGGCCACCCACUGUCUGGGAAGUGAGGAGCGCCUCUGCCCGGCCGCCCCGUCCGGGAAGAAGUGAGGAGCGCCUCUGCCCGGCCGCCCCGUCGGGAAGAAGUGAGGAGCGCCUCUGCCCGGCCGCCCCGUCGAGAAGAAGUGAGGAGCGCCUCUGCCCGGCCGCCCCGUCUGGGAGGUGAGGAGCGCCUCUGCCCGGCCACUCGUCGUCUGGGAGGUGAGGAGCGCCUCUUCCCGGCCACCCAUCGUCUGGGAGGUGAGGAGUGCCUCUGCCCGGCCACCCAUCGUCUGGGAGGUGAGGAGCGCCUCUGCCCGGCCGCCCAUCGUCUGGGAAGUGAGGAGUGCCUCUGCCCGGCCACCCAUCGUCUGGGAAGUGGGGAGCGCCUCUGCCCGACCACCCAUCGUCUGGGAAGUGAGGAGCGCCUCUGCCCGGCUACCUAUCGUCUGGGAAGAAGUGAGGAGCGUCUCUGCCUGGCCGCCCCGUCUGGGAAGUGAGGAGCCCCUCUGCCCGGCCGCCCCGUGUCUGGGUAGAAGUGAGGAGCUCCUCUGCCUGGCCGCUCCGUCUGGGAGGUCUACCACGGAGGCCAGAAGCAAUGUGGGGGCUGGAUGUGGUGGCUCACGCCUGUGGUCCCGGCACUCUGGGGGACAAGGCGGGUUGAUCACUUCGCGCUAGGAGUUCGAGACCAGUCUGGCCAACUUGGCGAAACAUGAAGAAUACAACAGACAAACCAACCAACCAACUCAAUGACAACAAAACAGGUCUACCCUGGAGUCAUACUCUAAUUUUUUCUAUUUUCCUUUCUUUCUGAUCCUUUAUCCCACUUUCUUUUUCUUCCUCUUCCUUCUCCCUCUUCUUUGUCAAAUAGAGGAUUGAGUUAUUAUCACUGAUCCAUAUAAAGUCCCUCUCUCAUUUAUUUUAACUCCCACCCCCAUUUCUAUUCCCCAACUUCCCAUGUGCAGCCUUACUAAUAUGUUUGAUACGCAUCUCUUUGUUUGUAUGUAUUUUUAGAAAAUGUUUAUGUUUUUGUAUACAAAAAAAAUUAAUUAAAAAAAAAAAAAAAAAAAAAAA